UAUAGUUUAUUUGGUGGUCAGCAAUUACAUGGAUAACCGUGGUAAUUCUAGAGCUAAUACGUGCGCCCAAACCCGACUUCGUGGAAGGGUUGUGUUUAUUAGAUACAGAACCAACCCAGGCUCCGCCUGGCCUUGAGGUGAUUCAUAAUAACCGAACGAAUCGCAUGGCUAUGCCGGCGAUAGACCAUUCAAGUUUCUGACCUAUCAGCUAUCGUCGGUAGGGUAUUGGCUUACCGUGGCAAUGACGGGUAACGGAGAAUUAGGGUUCGAUUCAGGGGAGGGAGCCUGAGAAACGGCUACCACA
Molecule: ribosomal RNA, 304 nt
Filed under: uncultured eukaryote
Lineage: Eukaryota
Description: SSU rRNA
Rfam family: Eukaryotic small subunit ribosomal RNA
Source: RNAcentral